GAUGAACGCUGGCGGCGUGCCUAAUACAUGCAAGUCGAGCGAACGGACGAGGAGCUUGCUCCUCUGAUGUUAGCGGCGGACGGGUGAGUAACACGUGGAUAACCUACCUAUAAGACUGGGAUAACUUCGGGAAACCGGAGCUAAUACCGGAUAAUAUAUUGAACCGCAUGGUUCAAUAGUGAAAGACGGUUUUGCUGUCACUUAUAGAUGGAUCCGCGCUGCAUUAGCUAGUUGGUAAGGUAACGGCUUACCAAGGCAACGAUGCGUAGCCGACCUGAGAGGGUGAUCGGCCACACUGGAACUGAGACACGGUCCAGACUCCUACGGGAGGCAGCAGUAGGGAAUCUUCCGCAAUGGGCGAAAGCCUGACGGAGCAACGCCGCGUGAGUGAUGAAGGUCUUCGGAUCGUAAAACUCUGUUAUUAGGGAAGAACAAAUGUGUAAGUAACUAUGCACGUCUUGACGGUACCUAAUCAGAAAGCCACGGCUAACUACGUG
RNAcentral lists this ribosomal RNA (497 nucleotides) under uncultured bacterium. RNAcentral describes it as "partial 16S ribosomal RNA". It matches the Rfam family "Bacterial small subunit ribosomal RNA", at positions 28 to 507 of the family's 1533-position model. The record is from RNAcentral.